This 27-nucleotide non-coding RNA is filed under the name Xenopus tropicalis (tropical clawed frog). RNAcentral also lists the same sequence under 8 other names. The record is from RNAcentral. Lineage: Eukaryota; Metazoa; Chordata; Amphibia; Anura; Pipidae.
UAGCUCAGUCGGUAGAGCAUCAGACUU